Molecule: non-coding RNA, 312 nt
Organism: Vicia faba (fava bean)
Lineage: Eukaryota; Viridiplantae; Streptophyta; Magnoliopsida; Fabales; Fabaceae
Source: the annotation of a GenBank genome assembly
ACAAAAACACCAAGAAACUUUCUCUCUAUUUGCUCCAAGAUCAAACUCCAUUCUUUCAAUUCUUUUCUCAAGAACAACAACAACUUCAUAACAACUUUUCAAAAAAGGGUCAAGAACACAAGCUCAAUUCUCCUUGUCUUCUCUGACCACCACUAUUCCGUACUCCUUCCAGUCACCUCCUGCCACUGCUGGCCACCGCUUCCCGCUGGAAAAUCGUUGUUUUCCUCCUCCUUGAAGCCGCAACCGCGACACUUCUAUACUCUCUCUGUUUCGCGAAUUCCGCCAACCUCUGGCCUCCGUUCUCCACUCUGA